This 495-nucleotide ribosomal RNA is filed under the name uncultured bacterium. RNAcentral's name for it is "partial 16S ribosomal RNA". It matches the Rfam family "Bacterial small subunit ribosomal RNA", at positions 28 to 507 of the family's 1533-position model. The record is from RNAcentral.
GACGAACGCUGGCGGCGUGCCUAAUACAUGCAAGUCGAACGCUGAAGGAGGAGCUUGCUUCUCUGGAUGAGUUGCGAACGGGUGAGUAACGCGUAGGUAACCUGCCUGGUAGCGGGGGAUAACUAUUGGAAACGAUAGCUAAUACCGCAUAAUAGUAGAUGUUGCAUGACAUUUACUUAAAAGGUGCAAUUGCAUCACUACCAGAUGGCCCUGCGUUGUACUAGCUAGUUGGUGGGGUAACGGCUCACCAAGGCGACGAUACAUAGCCGACCUGAGAGGGUGAUCGGCCACACUGGGACUGAGACACGGCCCAGACUCCUACGGGAGGCAGCAGUAGGGAAUCUUCGGCAAUGGACGAAAGUCUGACCGAGCAACGCCGCGUGAGUGAAGAAGGUUUUCGGAUCGUAAAGCUCUGUUGUAAGAGAAGAACGAGUGUGAGAGUGGAAAGUUCACACUGUGACGGUAUCUUACCAGAAAGGGACGGCUAACUACGUG